CGGACGGGUGAGUAACGCGUGAGUAACCUGCCUUACACAAGGGGAUAGCCGUUGGAAACGACGAAUAAUACCCUAUGACAUAAACUCUUCGCANGAGGAGCUUAUCAAAGAUUUAUCGGUGUAAGAUGGACUCGCGUCUGAUUAGCUAGUUGGUGAGGUAACGGCCCACCAAGGCGACGAUCAGUAGCCGGCUUGAGAGAGUGUACGGCCACAUUGGGACUGAGACACGGCCCAGACUCCUACGGGAGGCAGCAGUG
RNAcentral lists this ribosomal RNA (257 nucleotides) under uncultured Anaerococcus sp. Its description in RNAcentral is "partial 16S ribosomal RNA". It matches the Rfam family "Bacterial small subunit ribosomal RNA", at positions 99 to 356 of the family's 1533-position model. Lineage: Bacteria; Bacillati; Bacillota; Tissierellia; Tissierellales; Peptoniphilaceae. The record is from RNAcentral.